This 1189-nucleotide long non-coding RNA is filed under the name Macaca mulatta (Rhesus monkey). Its description in RNAcentral is "lncRNA (ENSMMUG00000057399.1)". The record is from RNAcentral. Lineage: Eukaryota; Metazoa; Chordata; Mammalia; Primates; Cercopithecidae.
CGGGAAGGCUCCACCCUCCCAUUCCACAGAGGAUGGGAAUUCUGGCUUCUUCAGGGUUUUCUUCCUGCUACGUGGGCUGUGUUCAUUUCCUGCAGGGUCAGCUACGUAUUUGUCUGCCUCUCUUUCCUUUCUGUCGUGGAUUUUCUGAAACACAGGCACGGACAACCCGGGAUCACUGGGUAUUUUGAAGAAUGAGGCAAAAGAAACGUCAGUUGGGGCACGGAGGGGACUGGUCAAUGCCAGAAAGAGGACCUCGGGGACACCUUUGCUCGGGGACAUCAACCGUCACACAGGCUGCUGGGGGUCUCCCUGUUCAUUCCAUAAAUAUCAAUCUGCAGGCACAGCAUCCUCAACGGCCCAUUUAAGUUCUUUACGGAACAGCUGCCCCCUUCUUGUCUGGCUGGGAGAGAUCGAAGUCUGACUGGUGGGAGUUCUGUGUCCCCGGGCGAGGGCAGGUUGGGGAUGGAGACAAGUCUGUGAGGAGCCGGGCUCAGCCCCCUCCCCAGUCCACGCUGCCCUGCCUGAGGCCGCGCCUGCUUGCCGGGGGCUCCGCACUGAUUCCCUUUUGCUGUCUUGAUGCCAUGCGAGGCGAGGAGAGAAGCCUGGUGCCCGAGCCCAGCUGUCUUAGUCAGCUUCCUCCUGGUCUCAGCUGUGCAUCCAGAAGUCCUAGGGAGCGUUUUUGUUUCUCGCUAAGGCCAGAGGAACUUCUGCCUGCACUCAGGAGAGGUGGGAGCAAACAGGAAGCAUGCACCGGGCAGAAGAAGGAGCAGGAGCUGGGGCCCAGCUGUGGCAGGACACCCACACGUGCCUACGGGAUGCUUCCAGGUCCCCUUCCAGACAAGCAGAAGCCCAGGACACAUGGCUGCAGCUCGACCAGCGCGUGGGGUGGGUGCUGUGAAGCCAAGUGGGGGCCCAAGGUAGGGGGUCCCUUGUGAAAAGCCAGGCGGGCAUCUCUCCAGGUGUGAGUGUGUGACAGGGUCGGGUCAGAGGCAAUGACCAGGGUAGGAUCACAAGGCAGGCACAGGGGUGAUAGCCACUCACCCGAGAAUGCUAUCAGAAAUAAUCACGGCGAUUAGGACGAUGUGUUAAUUCAACACACAGCUUUGAGUGUCUGCUACAUGCUGGAAACAGACAGUUCUACGUGCUGGAGAUAGAGCAGGGAGAAGACCUUUGUGAAGCGGCCAGAACU